GACGAACGCUGGCGGCGUGCCUAACACAUGCAAGUCGAACGGAACUUCUUUAAAGGAUUUCUUCGGAAUGAAUUUGAUUAAGUUUAGUGGCGGACGGGUGAGUAACGCGUGAGUAACCUGCCUCUGAGAGGGGAAUAACAUUCUGAAAAGAAUGCUAAUACCGCAUAACAUAUAUUUAUCGCAUGGUAGAUAUAUCAAAGAUUUAUCGCUUAGAGAUGGACUCGCGUCCGAUUAGUUAGUUGGUGAGGUAACGGCUCACCAAGACUGCGAUCGGUAGCCGGACUGAGAGGUUGAACGGCCACAUUGGGACUGAGACACGGCCCAGACUCCUACGGGAGGCAGCAGUGGGGGAUAUUGCGCAAUGGGGGAAACCCUGACGCAGCAACGCCGCGUGAAGGAUGAAGGUCUUCGGAUUGUAAACUUCUUUUAUUAAGGACGAAGAAAGUGACGGUACUUAAUGAAUAAGCUCCGGCUAACUACGUG
Molecule: ribosomal RNA, 483 nt
Filed under: uncultured bacterium
Lineage: Bacteria
Description: bacterial SSU rRNA
Rfam family: Bacterial small subunit ribosomal RNA
Source: RNAcentral